Molecule: non-coding RNA, 191 nt
Organism: Oryza brachyantha (malo sina)
Lineage: Eukaryota; Viridiplantae; Streptophyta; Magnoliopsida; Poales; Poaceae
Source: Rfam
AAUAACCUAAUUUUUUAUUUUUCCGUAUCCAAUGUUUGACCAUUCGUUUUAUUUAAUUUUUUUUUGCGAUUAAUAUUUUUAUUGUUACUAGAUGAUAAAAUAUGAAUAGUACUUUAUAUGUGACUAAUUUUUUAAAGAUUUUGUACAAAAUUUUUAAAUAAGACGAAUGGUCAAACGUUGGACACGAAAAA